This is a long non-coding RNA of Ictalurus punctatus (channel catfish), 923 nucleotides long. NCBI's taxonomy places the organism in Eukaryota, Metazoa, Chordata, Actinopteri, Siluriformes, Ictaluridae. The record is from Ensembl.
CACACACACACAGACACACAGAGCUUUCGCUUUUCCGCUUUCCUAGCCGUGAAUACUUGACGUCUGCGCAAUGCGUCUGCAAAAGCGCAGGCGCUGCGUGUGACGUAAGCGAGAGGCGACCAAUGGUGUUGUAGAUGUACGCAGGAAUAUUUGCGCAGUUGCAUAGUGAAGGGUGCAGCCAUUAUUUUUUGGUGCCUCACUGUUAACUACAGGUUGUAGACUAAGCUGAAAAAGAAAUAUACCUGAUACCGCGAAUAUUUCGCUAAGCUCUUUCUUAGCUCUCAAUAAGCAGAGAUUUCUGAGCACUUUUUAUUUUUUAUUUUUCAGGGAAGUACACGCGGGAAGCCUGAGGAGAGUCUGGAGACUGUUUGUGCGUAGUUUUGAACCGCACCGUAACACGGAACUAUAACAUUAUUAACACGAACUGUUUGACUCCCAGUGUAGUGAUGGACGUGUCGCUGAAAAUCGAGUCAUCUGAAAGUGUUAUGCCUCCAUCCUGCGAUGAAAGUCCAGCUGCAACUGAGUCGACUGCGAGCAUUUCUUCUGUAACUGCGGCUCAUCAUGUGGAGCAGCUCAAGGAGCCGACCCCUGUGUUCCUUUACCCUAUCAGUAUAAACAGUCCUGUAUCUGUAUUUAGAGACCAGAAGGUACCCCAUGCUGUUAGAAGGGAGGAAGCAAGAAAAGGUACUGCGGCACGGGGCUACCCUGAAGCAGUGUCUACCUCAUCCGAGUUCACCCACCGUGCUAUUGUGCACCUCAUUGAAGCGAUGCAUCGUUGCUGGGACGUGUAUGGCUCCCAUGAACGCUCUCGUCUCUUCCAGAAUGUCCAGAAUGAGCUGGAGAACCUUGGCCACUUGCUGCCAGUAGAAAAGAUUAGAAGAAAAUGGAACAACCUCAUUGUCACAUACAAGAGAGUAAAAGAG